RNAcentral lists this long non-coding RNA (829 nucleotides) under Panax ginseng (ginseng). RNAcentral describes it as "long non-coding RNA (PGIN_LNC006989)". The record is from RNAcentral. Lineage: Eukaryota; Viridiplantae; Streptophyta; Magnoliopsida; Apiales; Araliaceae.
GAUUACCUAAUGAUGGCCAAGUGAUUACCCCACAAGAUGAUCAACCGCACCUUCUGGCAUCCACAGGAGACGGACCAGUCAACCAAGAAGACGCCAGAGGAGUCUUCAGUCAACCGACAGUGAUGGCCCUAGCCAUCAUCAGCUUUUGCUUUCAUGUAUGGGGAUGGUGACUCAUCUGAGAAGAUGAUCAACAGCACCUUCUGACAUCUACAGGAGACGGACCAGUCAACCAAGAAGACGCCAGAGGAGUCUUCAGUCAACCGACAGUGAUGGCCCCAGCCAUCAUCAGCUUUUGCUUUUACUUUUACAUUUACUAAAGUAAAAGACUUUUGCUUUACGGAAAGCAAAAGCUGAUGAUGGCUGGGGCCAUCACUGUCGGUUGAAUGAAGACUCCUCUGGCGUUUUCUUGGUUGACUGGUCUGUCUCCUGUGGAUGCCAGAAGGUGCUGUUGAUCAUCUUCUCAGAUGAGUCACCAUCCCCAUUUAAGUGAUGUAGUGGUCUGGUGUAAUGGUGGUGGAAUAUUCUGUUUCCUUGUGUGUUUUGACUUGAUAUUAGCAGAUUUAAAUUUUAUUCCUUCCUACUGUUACCCCUUUUGGUUGGAGUAUUUAGUUGGUGUUGGAAAUGCAUUAAAUUCUACCGCUAUGACCUUUACUUACCUGUUUACUGUUUUAGUAAUCAAAAUUAAAUUUAUAUAGAAUAUCUGCAUAUUUGGUUUGGUAAAUCGCUCUACUAGUCAAGGCUCAACCUACCUUGACGCAAAUGCCUAAUUGACGAAAUUGAUAUUUUAAUAAUAGAAAAUAAUAUUUUAUAAUAAAAUUGUAUUUUGGUG